RNAcentral lists this unclassified non-coding RNA (3882 nucleotides) under Hevea brasiliensis (rubber tree). The record is from RNAcentral. Lineage: Eukaryota; Viridiplantae; Streptophyta; Magnoliopsida; Malpighiales; Euphorbiaceae.
GCUUCAACUGCCUGUUGUAAGGAAUAUAUAGCAACCAAAAAAAGGAAGACAAUUAGAAAAGAUUAUAAAUUGCAUAUAAAUUGAACACUCAGAAAAAAAAAAAAAAACAAUUAUUAUGAGCUAUGUAGGUAUGAGUGCCAAUAUCUGAUUCCUAAUAAUCCCCAUGCAUUUCUGAAUAUCUGCAUAAAUUGGAAGGUUUGGUGAACAACAUGGCUUCAAACUUGUAACUGCAGAAUCUAGUACCUCGGCAACAUCACUUGGUGGAAACUGCCUUUCUGUACAUUUCUGAAUCAUAAGCAAAGUAGCUACACAUUGCGUAAUGAGUUCUGAAGGGAUUUGUGCUUCAUUUUGGUCAGAUAUAUGGUCUAAGUGAGUAUCAGGAGCAUGACUGUUUUCCCCCACAUUUGCUGCACAGGAACCUGACUGAUCCUGAGAAGCCAGGCUACCGUGAACUAAAUUUGCAGUGGUAGAAGUUUGCAUGCCUGGUGUGCUUAGAUCAUCUACUGAAAGUUGAUUAUUUACAAAAUCUAUAGCCUCCUCGAUACUCUCAAAGCUGCUUAAUCCCUUCUUCAAAGAUGACAUUGCCUGCAUAGCUGCAUCAACCAUUGUCUGAGCUUUUGCUCUUGAACUUUCGACAAUCUCAGCCACAUGAGAUCCAGAUUCUUGAAUCUCGUCUGCAGAAUGGUCAAAAGAGCAGCAGUGCCCAGCUGGUUCACCUAUACCGAUCAUGGGCUUCAGCCAUACAUGUAGGUUAUUCCCUUGAUAAGUGUUACGUUGCCUCAAGCAAAAGAGCGCAGCAGAAACCUGUUCAUUGACUUCAUUUAACUGCAAAAGUACAGCAGCAUAAUGCUUCUUAAAAAGUUCAGAAUCAUUUAGGGAGUUUUCUCCAUCUUUUUGGUUUUCCACCUCAUCAUUCAUGCGCUUCAACUCAGACACCACAGCCUCCUUCUUGUCAAGAGCACGAGUCAACUCUGAAAGAGCUUGGAUAUCAGCUUCCUUUGCUUGGACAUGUGAAAGAAUAAAAGGUUGAGCAAUAACAGGUUCACCUGACUCAAUGCUAACUUGUACAUUAGAAUUUGCUGAACCACCCUUCGCAUGCUGAAAUAAAUUGCUGAUGAGAUGAGUUGAUGGGGAAGUAUGUGGAAAACCAGUGCCGUUCUCCAGAUUCUCACAUGAAGCAAAUUUUAUGUAUCCUUCCAUCUUCCUUUCCAUUGGUUGCCCAUUCAUUUUGAUGUCAUUUAAGUUCUCAAUGAAUUUAUUGAAAAAAAUAUUGUGCCUGGUAAGAGAUGCAGGAAUAUUUUCCAAUGGAUUUAAAGGCAUGCAAUCAACAUCCAUGACAAAUUCAACCCCUAGUUCAGGUUGGUCAAACUGAACUCGGCACCUGUUAUGAUCAACAGUAAGUACACUUCCAUCAUGAAUUUCUCUCGUUUUUGGAUGAAGAGCAAUAAUACGUUGUCCAACGGAUAAGGGCCGAGCCAAAUCAGUAGGAAGUCCAUCCUUGGUACCAGCACGAAGUUCUGUGUAAUGGUUUCUGACAGAUUCCCGGUAUUGAUUAAGCUUCUCUUUCUCCUCCUUUAAAAAUUGCUCUGAAAAUCUUCGUGGUUUACCAAGGGAGCUCCUUAUGACACCCCAUUCAACACGAGUUAAUCUCGGAAUAUGGCCUAAUCCAACAUGAUCCAGGUAUUCCACAAACUCCCUUUUAGCAAACCACGGGUAAUCAAUUGCACUGUAGAACCAUUCAAAAACACACCACCUCCGAACUUGAUACCAGGAAAGACAAUUAGAAAGCUUUUUCUGUAAUUAUCAAUUACAAAUAAGUCAAACGUAAUCAAAGAUUCAAGAAAACUACAUGGAAAUAUAAAUAACCGGCAUGCAUCUAACCUUAAGAUUGAGUACAUUGUCAUUGAAUGAAGGAAUGGCAAUAUUGUAUUGGCCAUUUACAAUAUUCUCAGAAGACGUAGUAUCUUUAUCAACCAAUGGUUUUGGUGUGUUUAUUUUACGCCUACUUCUCACUUUGGUAGGUAAGUUGAAUUGGUUUGAAGAUAAAACCUGUAUGGAAGAUGGAGCUGAAUCAUUUGACUCCCUUCCAUGGUCAUUGGAAGCAAAUUCUGGAGGUUUCAUCAGUUUCCCUUGUUUUUGGCAUGCAGAAUCAUGAGAACAUUUGGCUUUGUUCAUUAUGUCACUUACAUCAUCAGUGCCCUCAACCUUCUGAGACUCGCCCAGAUGAGAAUCAAUAUGCUCUUCAUUUUCUAAUAUCUUAGAUGGUAAGGACUUCUUUCUCCUUUUCCGAAUCCCAACAGUAAUCUGAUGGGCUCCAUCCUUCACUUCGGGACUAGCACUAACAUCUUGAGGGAAAACUUUUCCUUGUUUAGUUGUUUUGGAUGCAACUUUAACUCUGGUAGUUGAAUGAUUCCCUUUCAACUUGGUCUUGGAAACGAUUUCAGUCUUCUGUUCCUCAACAUGGACAGAUGACUCCGUAUCAACAGGUGCUUCUGGCAGCCUCAGUGACAAAUCUGCCAAAGCUUGCAAUGCAUCAAAGGCAUCAGCUUCACCUUCUCCAAAGAGAACUUUCUUGCUUCUCUUUCUUUGACCCUUAUUAGAAGGCCUUGGAAGUUUUGUACCCAAAACCUCCAUUUCUAAUUUUCCUUUGGUAGCACUCAGCUUCUGUCCUUCCUCUGUCCCACUACAAGCUUCCUUUAAGUCAUCCAAAUGAUCAUCCAUAUUCUCCUCCACUUCUGGCUUCCUCACAUGAUAUCUCUUCCCCUUCAUGAAACGUUUAUUUCUUACAUAAUGUCCUAAAUCAGCUUCUGUGCUUCCCAAGCUUAAUUCACACCCACCCUCAUCCAUUUCACUGCCACGAAGCUUGGUGUUGGUCAUCUCUGAUUCAGCAUGCAUAUGUUCACCAUUCCGAACAGGAGAUGGUGUCUCUGUUUUUCUGUUUGGUGUUUGAGAGACUUGGGGAGAUCCAGCUCUUUGAGAAGCCUCUGUUAAUACUAAUGCUAUCUCAUGAGCAACAUCAUCAUCUAGUGCAUCAGCCUUUAAUUUCAAACCUUGUCUAACUGGUGAAAUAUACUUCUCCCGGUUGUCUUUGUCAAAUGAAUGAGAAACAGGGACACGAGGAGUCCUUUUUCCAACAGCCCAGGGCCUGCUUCCAGAUCGCCUCUUCUUCAACAAUGACAAGCAGCCAUAAUUUGAUGCAGCUGACUGGGAUUGCACAAGAUCUGGAACCAGUGAUGCAUCUAAUUCUUUAGUUCCUCGAGCACUCUUUUGAGGUUUUCGAGGGGCCACUACAGGCUCAUUAGUUUCUUGUUCACUAUCACUGUCCUCCAGAUUACUGUAAUGAUCCGUCAUCAUUGCUAUUAGUCCAGCUGCAGAAGCAUACCCUCGUGGAAGAGAUAAAUAAGCCCUAUUCAUAGUAUAAAGGGCUUCUACAUUUUCCACAGACCGGUCACGCACUGAAGCAGUUACCUUCUCCCAAUCUUUCCCAUGCUUACGAUAUGCCUUGUAGAAACACUCAAGCUCUUCCUUGCUCCAUUGUGGUCCUAACAUGUCAGACAACUUCCUCUUCCGCUGCCUACUUUUGUUAGUGUUCUCUCCAUUCUUGUUAGAAGUCGCCUCAUUGAUGUAUGAGAACCGCUUAUUCACACUUCUAGACUUUCUUGAUGGAGCCAUGAGUAACUUGAUCAUGUAUCGAUCAAAGCGCUGGGUUUGGUAGACUAAGCAUCACAAGAAGAAGAUGAUGAUAAGGCGAAUCAAAUCGAAACAGAAAGCGAUCGAUCAAGAAGGAAGGAAGCGAUAGUGAAGAACGAUUUGAGAAAAAUAAUAGAGAAAGGAUGAAAGGAUGGUGGAGAAAUUUGGGGGUAUAACCGCGAAACUUUAAAA